GAUGAACGCUGGCGGCGUGCCUAAUACAUGCAAGUCGAGCGAACGGACGAGAAGCUUGCUUCUCUGAUGUUAGCGGCGGACGGGUGAGUAACACGUGGAUAACCUACCUAUAAGACUGGGAUAACUUCGGGAAACCGGAGCUAAUACCGGAUAAUAUUUUGAACCGCAUGGUUCAAAAGUGAAAGACGGUCUUGCUGUCACUUAUAGAUGGAUCCGCGCUGCAUUAGCUAGUUGGUAAGGUAACGGCUUACCAAGGCAACGAUGCAUAGCCGACCUGAGAGGGUGAUCAGCCACACUGGAACUGAGACACGGUCCAGACUCCUACGGGAGGCAGCAGUAGGGAAUCUUCCGCAAUGGGCGAAAGCCUGACGGAGCAACGCCGCGUGAGUGAUGAAGGUCUUCGGAUCGUAAAACUCUUUUAUUAGGGAAGAACAUAUGUGUAAGUAACUGUGCACAUCUUGACGGUACCUAAUCAGAAAGCCACGGCUAACUACGUG
RNAcentral lists this ribosomal RNA (497 nucleotides) under uncultured bacterium. Its description in RNAcentral is "partial 16S ribosomal RNA". It matches the Rfam family "Bacterial small subunit ribosomal RNA", at positions 28 to 507 of the family's 1533-position model. The record is from RNAcentral.